Long non-coding RNA from Micropterus dolomieu (smallmouth bass), 894 nucleotides. RefSeq lists it as uncharacterized. The record is from RefSeq and is a predicted model, not a curated record. The transcript has 6 exons. Lineage: Eukaryota; Metazoa; Chordata; Actinopteri; Centrarchiformes; Centrarchidae.
GUCACUGCAGCGUACAGUCUGCCCCCAGUCCAACAUGAGAGGAUGAACAAGUACCACUGCCCUGAGGGCAAGAAACCAUGUUGGUGGCAAAGAAAUUUAUUAUUUUAAAUUUAUCACUUAUAAGUGAAAUACAAAAUGAGCGUUAACAAUGGCGCUGCUUUCCACCGCUGGAGAUAGCUCUUAGCGAGGAAAGGGAUGAAGUUUGAUGCUGAACUGGCAAUGUUUCUUCUACACUGGAGGACAGCGACGAAACUGUGUGCGCCUCCUCAGCGAGAAGUGGAGCAAAGGUGCCAGAGAGAGGGAGAGAGAGGCUGGAAGAUGUGAUGUCACUUCUCUCUUUCUCCUCCUCUGCGAUGCCCCCCAGUGUGUGGAUGCUGGUGUCUACAAUUUGUUUACAUGCAAAACAGGGCGCUGCCCAGCAGAGCAUCCAGCUCUGGGUUGAUCUCCGCUUUCUCCUUCAGCAUGUGGAACAGCAGCUGGUUCUGGGUGGCGCUGUUGAUCUCUGUCUGCUUCAACCUGCCCUCCAUCACCUUCAGCUGGGAAUCCUUCUGAGACGCCUGCAGACCCUGACAAUGACCACACAGCAGGUUGCCGGGAGGCGUGUCUGUUGCCUGGGGAGCUGAUUACACACACCUGCACAGGAUUUGCACUCCCUCGGGUUCCUGUCCUAUUUAAGUGGCGGCCUGACAUCCUGUCCUCGCCGGAUCGUUAUGUCGUUUUUUCGAACUCAACCGGACCCGUCGGAAACCAACUCUCCUCCCCUACCUCCUGGACCUCACUCUCCUGCCUGUUUCUCCGCCCUGAUCCCAAUCAGCUUCCCUCGCCUGUUUGCUCUGCCUGCCCCGGCCUCUGCAGCCGCAACCAGCUCUUUGUUUAAUAAAUCUCUGAGAACAA